This 440-nucleotide ribosomal RNA is filed under the name uncultured bacterium. RNAcentral describes it as "partial 16S ribosomal RNA". It matches the Rfam family "Bacterial small subunit ribosomal RNA", at positions 338 to 795 of the family's 1533-position model. The record is from RNAcentral.
CCUACGGGAGGCAGCAGUGGGGAAUAUUGCACAAUGGGGGAAACCCUGAUGCAGCGACGCCGCGUGAGCGAUGAAGUAUUUCGGUAUGUAAAGCUCUAUCAGCAGGGAAGAAAAUGCCGGUACCUGACUAAGAAGCCCCGGCUAACUACGUGCCAGCAGCCGCGGUACUACGUAGGGGGCAAGCGUUAUCCGGAUUUACUGGGGGUAAAGGGGGCGUAGACGGCGGUGCAAGCCAGUUGUGAAAGCCCGGGGGUCAACCCCGGGACUGCAGUUGAAACUGGGCGGCUCGAGUGGGGGAGAGGCAGGCGGAAUACGUGGUGUAGCGGUGAAAUGCGUAGAUAUUAGGAAGAACACCAGGGGCGAAGGCGGCCUGCUGGACGAUGACUGACGUUGAGGCACGAAAGCGUGGGGAGCAAACAGGAUUAGAUACCCCAGUAGUC